RNAcentral lists this long non-coding RNA (240 nucleotides) under Elaeis guineensis (African oil palm). RNAcentral's name for it is "long non-coding RNA (EGUI_LNC057127)". The record is from RNAcentral. Lineage: Eukaryota; Viridiplantae; Streptophyta; Magnoliopsida; Arecales; Arecaceae.
CAGGGUCUCUACUCCAGACUUCUAUUGCAAGUGGACUUCAUCCAAGCUUCUACAAUAAGAAGUCUUCAUUCGAGCUUUCACAGCAACUGGUUUUCAUCCGAGCUUCUACAAUAAGCAGCCUCCUUUCAGACUCCUACAAGAGCCGGACUCCAUCCGAACUUCUACAACAGAAUUGAAUCCCAAACUCCUCCAACAUCCGACCUUCCCUAGUGUCCUCGAGACUCCUCCAGCAAACGAACC